GGCGAUUCGAGCAGUCGCGUCAAGCAGGCUAUUCCGGGUUUGUGGCUGCUUGGCUCCACACGUGGGCCGCCGUAGGUAUUCCGACCGGUAGUUCCUCCUAUUGGUGUGCAGCAGCCACAUUGAAGGAUAGAGUGGCAGCAGAGGCCAAGGAUCGUGAGUUGAUGGAGUUUGCUGCUGAAAAUGAAGGGAAGUCUGGGGGAGGUCUCCACAGCGUAGCGGAGGGGGUGCGGCUAAGUCCAGAGCCUGGCAGGGAGGGAGUAAGGGACUUAGCAGGGGCGGAGGAGUUCGGCGGCGGAGAGGAGGGGACAGGGCUGACAGGGAUAAAGGAGAUAGGGGAUGGAGAGGAAGGAAGUGGACAAAGGCCAGAGGAAAUACCGAUGGACCUAACGGUAGUGAAGCAGGAAAUUAUAGACUGGCCAGGUACAGAAGGCAGGUUGGCUGGCCAGUGGGUAGAACAGGAGGUGGAGGAUAGGCCUGAGGUGAAGGAUGAGAACGCAGGCGUAUUGGAGGUGAAGCAGGAGACGGAUAGUAGUUUAGUGGUAAAAGAAGCGAAGGUGGGUGAACCAGAGGUAAAGGAAGAGAAGGUAAAGGAAGAGGUAAUGGACUGGUCAGAAGUGAAGGAAGAGAAGGAUAACUUGGAGAUAAAACAGGAGGAGAAGUUUGUUGGUCAAUGCAUAAAAGAGGAAUUGAUGCAUGGAGAGUGUGUAAAAGAAGAGAAGGAUUUCCUGAAGAAAGAAAUCGUGGAUGAUACAAAGGUGAAAGAAGAGCCUCCGAUAAAUCACCCGGUGGGCUGCAAGCGGAAACUGGCCAUGUCAAGGUGUGAGACUUGUGGUACAGAAGAAGCAAAGUACAGAUGUCCACGUUGUAUGCGAUAUUCCUGCAGUUUGCCCUGUGUAAAGAAACACAAAGCAGAACUGACAUGUAAUGGAGUUCGAGAUAAAACUGCAUACAUUUCAAUACAACAGUUUACUGAAAUGAAUCUCCUAAGUGAUUAUCGAUUUUUGGAAGAUGUGGCAAGAACAGCGGACCAUAUUUCUAGAGAUGCUUUUUUGAAAAGACCAAUAAGCAAUAAACAUAUGUACUUUAUGAAAAAUCGUGCCCGGAGGCAAGGUAUUAACUUAAAACUUCUACCCAAUGGAUUCACCAAGAGGAAGGAGAAUUCAACCUUUUUUGAUAAGAAAAAACAACAGUUUUGUUGGCAUGUGAAGCUCCAGUUUCCUCAAAGUCAAGCUGAGUACAUAGAAAAAAGAGUACCAGAUGAUAAAACUAUUAAUGAAAUCCUAAAACCUUACAUUGAUCCUGAAAAGUCUGACCCUGUAAUUCGUCAAAGGUUGAAAGCCUACAUUCGCUCUCAGACUGGGGUUCAGAUUUUAAUGAAGAUUGAAUAUAUGCAGCAAAAUUUAGUAAGGUAAAAUUGCUCCCCUCCCCAUUUCUUUAAAUAUUUUUUAGUUCUGUAAUAUAAUUAAGUAGCUUGAUUAGCUCAAGUUAUUAAACUAAUUAUCUAGCUAUGAACAUGACUUUUACUUUUCAACUUUCAAGUCAGAAUUCAAAAUAAUCAGACUUAUAGGAUAAAUUGGGUUGAAAAAUCACCCUGGUUAGAAUAUUUUAUUUUCUGUCAACUGAUAUAGGGGAAAUAGAAUAUUUUAAAAUAUAAGCAUUCUUUUAUUUGUUCUAUUGUGGUUUACUUCACUGAGCUUUACAGGUAUUGCAUUCUUUACAAAUUGAAGGUUUGUGGUAACUCUGCAUUGAGCAAGUCUAUCUGCACCAGUUUUCCAACAGCACAUGUUCAGUUCGAGUCUAUGUGUCACAGUUUGGUAAUUCUUGCAAUAUUUCAGACUUUUUCGUUAGCACUAUAUCUGUUAUGGUGACCUGUGAUACAGUAGUAACACUUUAAUGUUACUACUGUAAUUGCUUUGGGUGCACCACAAUAUAAGGUGGCAGCCUUAAAUGUGUGUGUUCUGACUGCUCUACCAACCACUCAUUCACCCAUCUCUCUCACUCUCCUCAGGCCUCCCUAUUCCUUGAGACACAAUAAUAUUGAAAUUAGGCCAAUUAAUAACCACACAAUGGCCUGUGAGUGUUCAAGUGAAAGGAAGAGUCACAUCUCUCACUUUAAAUCAAAAGUGGAAUGAUUAAGCUUAGUGAGGAAGGCAUGUUGAAAGCCGAGAUAGGCUGAAAGCUAGGCCUCUCCUGCUAGUUAGUCAAGUCGUGAUUGCAAAGGAAAAAUUCUUGAAGGAAAUUAAAAGUGCUACUCCAGUGAACACAAGAAUGAUAAAAAAGUAAAAUAGUCUUUUUUUUUUGAGACGGAGUUUCACUCUUGUUGUCCAAGCUGGAGUGCGAUGGCGUGAUCUCGGUUCACCGCAACCUCCACCUCCCAGGUUCAAGCGAUUCUUCUGCCUCAGUCUCUUGAGUAGCUGGGAUUACAGGCAUGUGCCACCACGCCCAGCUAAUUUUGUAUUUUUAGUAGAGACGGGGUUUCUCCAUGUUGGUCAGGCUGGUCUCAAACUCCCCACCUCAGCUGAGGCAGGCAGAUUGCUUGAGCUCAGGAGUUUGAGACAAGCCUGAGCAACAUAGCAGGACCUCGUCUUCGAAAAAAAAAAGAAAAAGAUAAACCUGAGCCAGUCUGAGGAACAUGAAAGUACUUUCACUCUACCUUAUCUGUGGAGAAAGCUCAUCUUCCAAAUUCCCCCAUUUUUGCUAUUGACUCGAACUAAGUAAUAUAUGAAAAUACUACCAAAGCAAAGGAAGGGGGAAAAGGUUAUGUCCCAGGUCCAGUUUAAAAAUUGCCAUUCUGUUUAGCCUUGAGUAGUGAUGGCAUCAUUUGACAGCAAUAAUAAUGUCAGAAAUUCCUGUUGAGGUAGCUUUCAUCUUGAAGGUGGACCUAAAUUGGUAUAGGGCAUCUUUAUAUUUCUGAUUAUUAGGUCAGCCACAAAGCAUAGUUAUGCUAAUUUCUAAAGAACCUCAAUUUUAUAAGUAUUUUGUAGUCAUAAGUAAUGAAGUUAGAUAGUAUAGAGAUAUAUUUAGGCGUAGAUUUUUAUUUUUUAUCAGAUUUUUAAAACAUAAUGUUCUCUGUGUAACAUACUCAUGAAUGGACUAAGAUGAGCUUUUACAUUUGAUUGGUACAUCCUUAAAGGAAAGUACAUUACAGUUACAUCCUUAAAGGAAAGUACAUUCAGAGAACAUCUAAGGAAAAUUAUUAUAGGUUAUAAAUGUUAAGCUCUAAUUUAAGAUAAGCAUUCUAAAUAGAACCAUUUUAUUAUUUCCUGAAAAGUGCUUAGAAAUCAGAAACAUGUAGUUUCUUUGUGGCUGUUUAAUUCUACAUUUACAGCAUUACAGUAACUUCAGAGUAAAGUCUUUUUACCAAAUACUUGAUGUUGCCAGUUUCCAUUGGUUUUAUUUUCCAUUCUUGGAAGGUAUAUAGCAAUUGUCUCAUGAUAUAGAUAUACCUGGUCAGCUAGAGCAUGGUUAAGUUUUUCCCAGGUUUUAGCUUUGCUAUACAUGGCUUAUUUUUUAAAUUGCGAUCAUAGAAUGUAUGUCUAAUCUAAGAAAUUCGCUACUGAUCUGUUUGGGAGUUUUCUUUCCAGAAUACAUAGGGUCUGAAUUUAUCUCUUAGAAAAGCUAUUAUAGCUUUUUAAAUAAAUUCACUUAUUCAUUCAGCAAACAGUGAGUAUGCCAAAGUCCAGAUGCUAUUCUAGACAUUGAGGCUAUGGCAGUAAAGAAGAGUGUUCCUGCCCCUGUGGAGAAGAUCAUUCAUGUAAGAUGCUUGUGUUAGUAAAGCCAUUCUUGCCCUUUGCCGCAUUAUUUCUUACCAACUUUCUAUUCUCAGAAAGUAAAUGAGUGGUUUUGGACUAGAAAAGCCUAUGUUGCUAAAUGUCAGGCACUAUCAGAGGGCAGCUGUUGUAUUACUGCCCACUUAAGUUACUACUGACUGAAGAAUUUAUAAAACAACUGACUUUGUCUAUUCAAGUACAGUUUUCCAAAUCUAUUAAAUUUUAAGCCUGGAUUUUACUUUUAUGGAACUAUUUACCAGAAAGAAAUUUAGAUACAUUUUGUUUUUUAUGUUUACUUUGCUUCUUUGAUACUUGUAAAUCUUCGUGGGUUUUUUUUGUGUGUGUGUGAUUUAAGCAGUUAUAGGAUGAUCCUUUCCAAAUUUAUUCAAAAAAAACCAUUAAGUACAUUUAAUCUUCUAGGCAUAUAAAUAAAAAUUGGAGUUUAUACAAGAAUGAAUAAAAUACAGUUCUGUUGUAGUAGGGAAAACAGACACACUGUAUAUAUCAUAAGAAACCUAUGUCUAAGUCUUAAAAGUGAUGUGGAAGGUAGUAGGUAUCCUCAUGUCAUCAGAAGGCUUUGUUGUGGAAGUGAUGUUUGAUUUUUAUUAAAGGUGAAUGGCCUAUGACUAGGGGAGGGUACAGAGGGCCUUAAGAAGUGCAAGGGCGUGGUAUGUCAUAAACAAGGCAAGUAAGUGAUUUGAGGAGGUUGGAGUGUAUAGAUGUAUGCAGAGCAGUAUUUUUUAAACUUUUUUUUAAAAGUUAAGGUUGAAGAGUUAGUUCAAGACCCAAUACUAACGCUGUUUGGAUCUGGUCUCAUUGGCAGUAGAAAACUGUAAAAAUCUAGCAAAAAAAAAAAAAAAACAGUAAGACUUGGUGAUCAAGUUGGCUAUAGGGAGCAAUAAAUAGGAAUCAAAGGUGACUGCGGUUUCUGGCAUGAUUGCUGUUUACAGAGAGAUGAAAGUAAGGGCUGGAGAGGCUAAGAGCAUGUUGAGUUUCAUGUAGGGGUGGCAUCAUUUUCAGGAACACUACUUUCGAAAAGAAUGACCUUACUCUACUAAUUAUUAGGAUAUCUUCAGAGUGAAAUUGUAUGCUAGUAAAAAAUAGUAAUAUUAUCCUUCCAGAAUACAUAAUCUGUGUAGUAUACCUUACUUUAGUUUAUGAGGCUCUAGACUAGACUUUUUAGACCAAAAGUUUCACCAUUACAAAUAGUACAUUUAUUAUAAUAAAUAAAAGUUUAUUGUAACUGCUUCCUAAGCCUAAACCAAAUCAUGAGAACUUCCAGAAUAACCUUUUUGCUCUUAUGCAAAAAUGUACAUCAGAGAUUUGCUGUAAGGUCAAAAUUGUGUUUUUAAUUUGAUACAUACCUUGGAAAGUUACUAAGCCUGUUUUCCCAUCUAAAAGUGGGAAUCAGAACAGAAAUGAUACUGCAUCGUUGUAAAGAUUAAUUUGAGUUAAUAUUUGUCAGCUACUGAAUACAGUGCCUGGCACCCAGAAAAUCACUCCUGUGUAUUAUUCAAGUAUUUUGAGUUUCAACUAGAACAUCAUGCUGAAAUGAUUGAAUGAACGUAAGAGGUGUUUAAGUUCCACAUGUCUGGUAGUAGGUAACUGUAUCAUGUAUUACUUUUUUUGUUUAUUUGUUUAACAGCUUCUUUUAACCAAAUUCAUUUUGAAAAAAAAAAAAUUUUUUUUUUAAGAGACAGGAUCUUACUCUGUUGCCCAGGCUGGAAUGCAGUAGCACAAGCAUAGCCUCACUGCAGCCUUGAACGCCUGAGGUCAAGAAAUCUUCCUGCUUCAGCCUCCUGCAUAGCUGAGGCCCUAGGCAUGCAUCAGCCAUAUAAUUUCUUAUACUUCUGGGAUAUACUUCAAGUGUAAUAUUAGCUAUACAUUCCCAACAGGCCACUCACCACUAAACACAAGGGAGCAGAUAACCAGUUGUGUUUGUUAACAUUUCUUUUGACAUAAUUGGAUAUUGGAAGAAUAUGAGAGAUUUCAGGAACUUAAGAUAUUGUCAACUUAUUUCUGUAGAAAUUACUCCCAAAUCUAGAUAUAGUUUUAACCUUUCUCCCAACCUCCAAAUCUUGGUUUCCAGCUAUCUUCAUUUACACAUCUCAUUAAAUCUUAAGCUCAACAUGUCUAGAUUUCAUUACACUGCAUCUAUUUCUUCCUGAUGUGUGUGUUUCAAAUUUAAUGGACUGACUGUUCCUGGCAUCGAGUAAGCAGUCAACAAAUGUUGGUAUGCAUUUUCUAUUACUGGCACUGUUGUUCUAGUAAGCCAGGCGUAAGACCUUGCAGCUCAGCAUCUUCAACUACUUCUUGACUUCUACCUUGCCACCUUACCUUGUAUAAUUGACAUCCACAAUGAGUCUUCCAUUUGUCCUUUCUUCUCCAUUCCUUUUAUGUAGACUGUUAGUUACCAGUGUCUGCAACAGAGUUCAUUUCCUUCCCCCAAACUGGAUAUGAUUUCUGUAUCUUUAGAACCUUAAAAGUGUUUUGCAUUUCUCAUAGGUUUCUAUAAAUUUGACUUAUUUUAUCCCAAUAAAACUUAAAUCACAUGAUGAUUAACUCUCUUUUGAAGACAGUGGUUGCCGUAGGCAUCUUCAUUUUUAUAUUUCCUGCAGAGUUGUGUUAGUGACUUUUCCACAGUAAGUGUUCAGUCUUAAUUUUUUAAUGUGUGCUAAUUCAUUAAAAUAUAUAUAUGUGUGUAUAUAUAUAUGUAUAUAUGCCUGCUGUAUGCUAGGUAUUGAUGCCAAGUUAAUACCCUUAAGCAGGGCUUGGGCAACUUUUCCUUUAAAUGGCCAGAUAGUAAAUAUUUUCCAGCUUUGUGGGCCAUUUAGUCAUAAUUAGUCAAUUCUACCAUUGUAGCACGUAAGCAACUAUAGACCACUUAAAUGAAUGGACAUGACUAGAAUAUGGUCCAGUAAAACUUUAUUUACAAAAACAGAUAGUGGGCUGGAUUUGGCCUCCUGGCUGUAGUUUGCCGAUUCCUGCUCUAAAGGGUUUUUUUAUUGGUUUACAUGAUAUCUGUAUAUCAUGUAAACAGUUGGGGGCUUCAAUUCUCAAUGAAGAGAGAGAGAGAAGAUUGUAACAAGGGCCUAGUAUAAUUUAAAAGUUACUUCAGAAAGUGUAGUACCUGCUCAGGGUCAGGCUUUUUGAUACAUGAACCUGACCUAAAGUAUCAGUUAAGAUUGAUCAGGUCUGUAUUUUUCAUUUAUUCAGUUAAUUUUCAUUGAGCCCCUUUCAUGUGCUAGCCCAGUGCUAAUACCUAGGGAUAUAUAGACAUCUACAAGACUAGCCCUCAAAGAGCUCAUAGUCUAGAUGGGAAGAAUGAUAUGUGAUAAAUACCGCAAAAGAUAGAUACUUAAAAUACAAGGCAUAAAAGGUGCCCAGUGGAGGGCAUGGGCAUCUUUGCAUGGACGCUCCAGACUUAAUCAUUUCUUGAUGGAAAGACAAACCAUUGCCUUCACUUUGCUUCCAGAAUUUUUCUUGUAAAGCCAAGAAUUUAGAUUUAAACCCAAGCCCAGGUUAAAGUAUUACCUAAGCUUUGAUUUCAUGGAUAUCACACAAAUUUUUACUGUUCAUGCGCAUAUUAUCCUGUUGUACUUGCACAGAGCCUAUUAGUUGUUUCGUCCUGUGCUGGUUUUAGUUAAUAAUUUUGGAAUGCUUUUUGUUUGAAAAGCAACCAGCAAAAGUAUGAGCUAUUUCUCUUGGAUGAUUUUAUUUCCAUGCUGAGAGGAUGUUUUUAAAUUUUAAAAACUAAGGCUAUUUUACCUUCCUUGGAACUUUAUGGAUCUUUAAUCUAAAAUAUUUUAAAAUCAUUUUCAGUGAAGUGAAGAGGUAAAAUGCUUUUUCCUAUCUCCUUUUUGAGAAAUUGAUUUUACCUGUGUAAAGGCCUCAGGUGAGCCCCACCUGACCUCUUUUGGCUUGCACCCACUCACUAGCAAGAAAAGACCCCGUUUCACUACUGGCCAGUUAUUCUUCCUUCCUGUAAACCUCUCCCCAGUGGAACAUGUAACCUGUAUUUCUUUUCAGAACAAUGCUUCUCAGAUUUCAGUAUCCAUAAUAAUAGUCUAGGGCAGUUGUUGAAAAUGUUGAUUUCCAAACCACUCUCUUAGGGUUCUGGUUUAGUAAAUCUUACAUAGGACCCAGAAACCUACAUUAUUUUUUUUACAAUCUCUGCCUCCCAAGGGUGACCGUGAUAUAAGUUCUUCCUGGGACCACACUUUGAGAAACACUGGCCAGGUUGGUAAACUCCUUGAGGACAUUGUUGGUUCCCACACAAUGUCUGACAUGUGACAAGUUUUUGGUAGAUAUAUUCAGUUGAGUUGUUGAAGUUGUAUAAAGAAACAUGUCAAUUGAUAUUAGAAUGGAUUUUUUUAAAAUCACAUUUUACCUCCUUAAAGAUUAGUCUGUGCUCUUUGCCUAACUGAACUAGAAAUGGAAAAUUAGAUGACUUUGUUUUAGACUUACGGUGAAUAAUUGAAAAAUAUACUUUGAAGAUACUCUAAAUAGGAAAUUUAUAAGAUGUGUGUUAAAAGUUAGAACUUAAAAAUUAUUUUGAGAAUAGUGCAGAAUUAAAUAUAUACUGGAGAACACUGAAGAAAUUCCAGAAUUUCUAAGAACAGUGUUAACUAUUUUCAGAUGUCUUUUCUUAUGUAAACAGCCAGAGACAUUUCUGCCUAAGAUCCCCUGAAAAUAACUGUUGAAGAAUUAGUGAAGAAUAAGAGCUUGCUCUCUAGAUGGGAUUACGUAAACUUCCUCUUGUUUUCCUUUUGAAAUUUGAUUCUGUUAAUGGAUACCAAGUUGAUAAAUGGGGGAAAAUCAUUUAAUCUGAGAAUCAAUAGUGAACAACCAUGCCUUUAAUAGAAGAUGCCAUCAUCAGUGCUCGUCCAUCACGUUAAGAGAUGUUUUUCAAAAAUAACUUAAUUUGUUUGUAAUAUAUUUGUGAUGUUUUGAUCAAUUUGAUGUUAAUAAUAGUUAAAAUUAUUCAGUUCAGAAGAAAUUUUAUUAUUUAAAACAUAAAGGUCAUAGGUAAUGAAAUUAAAUUUUACAUUACAUUUUUGUUGCAGAGAAGGUCAGGUAUAAACAUACUACUUGGUAUAAAAUUCUGCAGGAGAAUCGGAAUGGAAAAACAGAGAACAAGUAAGAUUUCUAACUUAGAAAGCAGAGCAUAUAUAUAUAUAUUUUUUCUUUUUUUCUUUUUUUUUUUUUGAAAGAGAGAGUGAGUGAGUGAGUCUCACUCUCUUGCCCAGGCUAGAGUGCAGUUGCGCAAUUUCAGCUCAUUGCAACCUCUGGCUUUUGGAUUCAAGCAAUUCUCGUGCCUCAGCCUCCCAAGUAGCUGGGAUCACAGGCACACACUACCACACCUGGCUAAUUUUUGUAUUUUUGUAGAGAGACAGGGUUUUGCCAUAUUGGCCAGGCUGGUCUCAAACUGCUGGCCUCAAGUGAUCUGCCUGCCUCAGCCUCCCAAAGUGCUGGGAUUACAGGUGUGAGCCACCACACAUGGCCAUUAUUCUUUUUUUUUUUUUUAAUGGAUGAUAUUGAUGUUAAAUUACCAUGAUAUUUACAGUCUAGUGAAUUUACUUAAGGGUGAUAUAUUUCAUCUUAAAACAUCAAUAUUCACAAUACACCAUAAAUUAUGUUCUUUGCAUCUACUUAAACUUGUAGGAUGUCAAUUUAAGAAUGUACAAAAGUAUCAUUGUUUUUCACAAUUAUUUUAGGUUAUGUUUAAGCAAAACAAUGUGAAGACCCUGAAUAAGUUUUCCCAAACACAAGAAUUGUUUCCUGCAAGAGUGAUUUAAAAUCAAGGUUAAAUCUGGGGGCUAAUAUGUAUCUUUAUGGAAUAUAGUAAGUAUGAAUGACAUACUUUUAUUGAGUGCCUUACUAUUAUUUAGGUACUCUGGUAAGCACCUCAUACAUAUUAUAAUUGUAUUAUAAUUAAAUGGAUAGCCCGUCUACAGCUGUAUGACCACUAAAUGGUAGAACCUAGAUCCAAACCUAGGUCUGCCCGCACUCAAAGCCUUAGUAUGUUCUUUGCAAUAUAGUACAUGCCUCUCAGCACCAUAAAUAAUCAUAAUGCAUGUUCUCAGAUUAUGUGAAACCCAACCACAGUUCUUUAUUAUACCUUUUUGGGAUUGUUGUUUAUUUUUCAAAGUAAUCAUGGUCAGGAUGAGUAUGUGCUCAGAAUGGCAUUAACUUUUGACCACGUUUUGGAUAUAGAUUCUAAAAGAAAGCGAGAAUAAAACAAAGAACAAAGGAAGCAUCAUUUAAGGAUUAUAGCAAUUCUGUAUUCUAUUACAGAACAAAGGAAUCAUCAUUUAAGGAUUAGAAAAUGUUAGAGUUAACCUGAAGAAUGUCCACACACAGAAAGGGAAUAUGUCAAGUGGUUUGCUAAACUUUUUUUAUCAUCUCAAAGAUGAUACUCUUCCAGUGAUGGAAUGGGCUUCAUAUGUGGUAUUCUUGUUAAAGCAGUUUUAUGAUAAGAAUUGUUAACUUAGCUUUAAGAAAGCUGAAGCUCAGCUAGUUGGCACAGUUCGGUGAGUGUUUACCGGACAGAUAUAAACUCAACUAUUGAGGUCUCGGUAGCUUUCAACCUGAGAAGGUUAGUUUGAGAGGCUGUAUUUGAAGUGAUCCAAAGUGAUGUGAUGGUCAAAUUCUUGGCAGAUUGCAAGCCUACAAUUUCUAUAGUGAUAGUCUUACUUCAAAUAUAUUCUAUUCUGAUUCUUGGUUAAGGAAAUUAUGUGAAAUAUAAAAUGUGAGUUUUCUCUAAAAUCAAGUGAUAUUUUAGCGUAAUGUUAAUCUACUAAACUUACCUAUCCUUGUUACGUUAUAGAAUAUUUUGUGACCAAUUUAAAUGUUAGGCACCAAAACUGUGAAUUCUAUGUGUAUUCCAAUACCCAUUCUCUGCUCAGUACUUUAAACAUAUCCGCUCUCUACCCAGUUCCAUAGACCUAGCUCUCUCCUCCUAUCUUUACCUUACACAUAUACUUUCUUCCUGGAAAGUCUGUCCUUUCACCUCUAGUAAAUUCCUUAUAGUACACCAUUGUAUUCCCAGUGCCAAGAACAGUGUCUGGAACAUGGUAGACUCUCAGUAAAUAUUUGUUGAAUGAGGAAUGAAUGAACAAGCACACAGUUGAGUGAAAGAAAUCACAAAAUUGACUUUAUAGUCCCAACUCUGCAUUUUCUUGAGAGACCCUGAGUAAGAUACUUAACUUCUCAGGGCUUCAGUAUACUUAACUGGAAGACAAAAAAGACUGGGUUGUAAGUUCCUGCCAACUCUAAAAUAAUACCAUUCUAUAAUGUAGUUAAUUCAUGGACUAUUGAACCUCUAAGCAAAAGUUUCUCUGAGGAACCUAAUCAUAUUUUGCAAGGUAAUAUACAUCCUAAUAAAGACUGAAGAUGUAAGAGUCUGUACUGAUGAGACACUUGCAUUCAGUUUUAACUUCAAAGGAAAUGUAUGUUUUGUUAGCAAGAUUAAGACUAAAGAUUAAGAUUUAAAAUCCCUACAUUAAUUAGAGGGGGAAAAAAGUGCAUGGAGGAGAAAGAAUUUUAAGAAACAAAUAAUUAACAAUACUGUAUUGUAUACUUGAAAUUUGCUAAGAGGGUACAUUUUAAGUGUUCUUAUCACAAGAAAAAAGAAAAAAAUGCUAUGUAAGGUGAUGGAUAUGUUAAUUAGCUUGAUUAUGAUAUUAUUUCACAACAUAUACAUACAUCAGAAUAUCAAGUUGAGGCUGGCACAGUGGCUCACACCUGUUGUAAUCCCAACACUUUGGGAGGCUGAGGCAGGAGGAUCAUUUGAGCCCAGGAGUUUGAGACCAGCCUGGGCAACAUAGGGAGACCCUGUCUCUACAAAAAUAAAAAAUAAAAAUCAAAUUGUAUACCUUAAAUAAUAUAUAUAAUUCCUAUUUGUCAAUUAUACCUCAAUAAAAUUGAGCAAAAAAAGAAUACGAACCAAUUAAGGAGAGGUGUUAGCUAGGGUUAGGAACUGAAGUACCUAGAUAGUGAAGACCCUGUGCAGCCUGCAAGAACAAAGAACAUUUGGAUGUUGGUACUGAACAAGAGAGGUUUGGGAGGCUGAGGCAGGCAGAUCACCUGAGGUCAGGAGUUUGAGACCAGCCUGGCCAACAUAGUGAAACCUGUCUCUACUAAACAUACAAACAUUAGCCAAGUGUGGCAGCAUACACCUGUAGUCCCAGCUACUCGAGAGGCUGAGGCAGGAGAAUCGCUUGAACCCGGGAGGCAGAGAUUGCAGUGAGCUGAGAUCGCGCCGCUGGACUCUAGCCUGGGCGACAGAGCGAGACUCUGUCUCAAAACAAAACAAAACAACAACAGAACAAGAGAGAAUAUUUACUGAGGAUCUACUUAGCUUUACUUUUUUUUUUUUUAACUUUUAGGUUCAGGGGUACGUGUACAGAUUUGUAAUAUAGGUAAAAUCAUGUCACAAGGGUUUGUUGUACAGAUUAUUUUGUCACGCAGGUACUAAACCUAGUACCCAGUAGUUAUUCUUUCUGCUCCUUUCCCUCCUCCCACCCUCCACCUUCACCUCGUUCCUAGUUCUUUGUGUCCAUGAGUUCUCAUCAUUUAGCUCCCACUUAUAAGUGAGAACAUGUGGCAUUUGGUUUUCUGUCCUGCAUUAGUUUGCUAAGGAUAACGCAUGAAGAUUCAGGAGAAUGGCAAGCCCCAAUCCAAAGAAACUAAGAAUCACAAUAAAACAGUACAGGAGCUGACAGACAAAAUAGCCAAUGUAAAAAUGAACCUAACAGAUCUGACAAAGCUGAAAAAUACACUUCAAGAAUUUCACAGUGCAAUCACCGUAUUAACAGCAGACUAGACCAAGCUGAGGAAAGAAUCUCAGAAAUUGAAGAUGGGUUCUCUGAAAUAAAGCAGACAAAAAUAAAGAAAAAUGAAUGAAAGGAAUGAACAAAACCUCUGAGAAAUAUGGGAUUAUGUAAAGAGGCCAAAUCUACGAAUCAUUGGCAUCCCUGAAGGGGAUGGGGAGAAAGCAAACAACGUGGAAAACACAUUUUAAGAUAUUGUCCAUGAAAGCUUCCCCAUCCUUGCUAGAUAGGUUAACAGUCAAAUUCAGGAAAUACAGAGACCCCUGCAAUAUUCUCCACAAGAAGAUCAUCCCUAAGAUACAUAAUCGUCAGAUUUUCCAAGGUCGAAAUGAAAGAAAGAAUGAAAUGAAAAACAGCUAGAGAGAAGGGGCAGGUCACCUACAGAGUGGCUACAGAGAUGGAUCACCUCCACCAGGCUAACAGCAGAAACUCUUUACAAGCCAGAGAGUUUGGGGGCCUAUAUUCAACAUUGUUAAAAAAAAAAAUCUUCAACCAGGAAUUUCAUUUCCAGCUAAACUAAGUUUCUUAAGCAAAGGAGAAAUAAGAUUCUUUUCAGAUAAGCGAAUGUUGAGGGAGUUUUUUACCACCAGACCUGCCUUAAAAGAGAUCUUGAAAAGAGUACUAACUAUAGAAAGGAAAAACCAUUACUAGCCAGUGUCACUUUACAUUUCUAUCAUGUUACUUGUGCCAAUGAAUGCAAUAGCUGUUUGUCUGCCUCCCCCCAUAAAGUGCAAGGUUUAUUUCUAUGAACUUCCAUUACCUAGCAGACUACCUGUGCAUAGUAGACACUAAGUAAAUAUUUGAGGAAUCAAUUGAAGAAUAAAUGCCAGGCUAAUGCUUAUAACAUUUUCACAUGCAUUAAUUCUAAUAAAGUAUGUACUAUGUCUUCUCUACUUUACCUGAUUAGGAAUCUUAGGCUCUGAAAAAUUGACUUACCCAAAGAAACUAAGUUUGUACAGUUUAUAAGGCUAAGAUUUGGACUCAGACCUGUUCAUCAAGAGUUCAGUUCAUGCUUUUUCUACUAACUAGUCUCUGUCUCUGUCAUAAAUCAUAAAUAUAAUUCCUGAUAAGUAUGUCAUUUCCUUGCUAGGAGUGCCAAAUUACUUUUGGAGUAUAAAAUCUUAUUACUGAUGCUAGCUUAGCAGGUUACACUUUGGAAACAUUUUCACCUGUUAUAGUCCUUACAAACUAACCCAUGAGUAGGUAUCUUUCCUACCAUUAUAUUGAUGGGCAAAACUGAGUCUCCUUGUGGAGUCAUAGCUCAUAAGGACCAGUGAUAAGACUGGAACUCAAGCCUUGUGGAUUUAAAAGUAAUUGAAUUUACCAGCGAAAAUCAGAAAAGAUUUCAAAGAAAUAAUAUCUAGAACAAGUCAGAGCCUUGUAAGCCCCUCUUUAAAACAGGUUUUAAAAUAUAUAGUUGGCCAUUUUAUUUAACCACAUCCAUAGUUUAAAUAUCAUGGUUAGAAUAGGAUAAUUUACCAAAUGCAGUUCUGAACUGGUGAACUUUCUGAAUUAAGGCAUAUGUCUGUACUACACAAUUCAUGAUCUACUCUCCAUGUCAAGCAGGUAUCGUCCUCAUUUAUGUGGAUAUAUAAAAAUCCCAAAACAAAGUGCAUCAAACCACUAACUUAACUACUGUGAUUUUUAAAAUAUGAAAACUAAGAGAGAUUGGGUGAGAAAAAGAUUAACUUUGGCAAAAUCCUUUUCUAUAUGACUUGAACAUUAGGAGUUGCAAAAAUUGUUACACAGAAGUAUUAUUUGGAGAAAUUUUAAAUAAUACCUUUUAAAGUUUAAAUAAAAGAAGAAUUAAAACUGUUUUUUGGAAUAAUUUAGUUGAACUUUUAAUCUAGAAACCUAGAUUGAGAAAUAAAUACAACUGUGAAAAAAUAUAGUUAAGUAUCAAAAAUUGUAGAAAUUUAGAGCUGAAGGGAUCUUAGUGAUCACCUAAUUCAAUGAUCUUAUUUUAGUGGAAAAAUACUGUGGCCUAGGGCCUGCUACUAGAUUGCUAAAUUUGGAGAAAUUCAAACUUAGUUUUGGUAU
RNA transcript from Pan troglodytes (chimpanzee), 14644 nucleotides. It is a transcript of the gene named zinc finger HIT-type containing 6, with no coding region annotated. Lineage: Eukaryota; Metazoa; Chordata; Mammalia; Primates; Hominidae. The record is from RefSeq and is a predicted model, not a curated record. The transcript has 9 exons.